Molecule: ribosomal RNA, 164 nt
Filed under: Imperata brevifolia
Lineage: Eukaryota; Viridiplantae; Streptophyta; Magnoliopsida; Poales; Poaceae
Description: 5.8S ribosomal RNA
Rfam family: 5.8S ribosomal RNA
About the family: 5.8S ribosomal RNA (5.8S rRNA) is a component of the large subunit of the eukaryotic ribosome.
Source: RNAcentral
CCACCGACUCUCGGCAACGGAUAUCUCGGCUCUCGCAUCGAUGAAGAACGUAGCAAAAUGCGAUACCUGGUGUGAAUUGCAGAAUCCCGCGAACCAUCGAGUUUUUGAACGCAAGUUGCGCCCGAGGCCUUCUGGUCGAGGGCACGUCUGCCUGGGCGUCACGC